UUGACAGCCCUGGAGACCAAAGUCUUUCAUUUCUAUUCGCAGAACAAACACAGCACGGGCAGCAGCAGCACAAACUCCUCACGGCUGUCAGCAAUUCUGUAUGUAUCGGCGGGAACUUCCCGCAGCAUCUUCGCACGCUUGCAGCUCUCAGAUGGAAGGCAGGUUCCCUAACAUUUUUCAUACCACAAAGCCACU
Molecule: small RNA, 195 nt
Filed under: Crocodylus porosus (Australian saltwater crocodile)
Lineage: Eukaryota; Metazoa; Chordata; Crocodylia; Crocodylidae
Description: TUC338 (ENSCPRG00005017082.1)
Source: RNAcentral